RNAcentral lists this ribosomal RNA (373 nucleotides) under Askenasia sp. RNAcentral's name for it is "partial small subunit ribosomal RNA". It matches the Rfam family "Eukaryotic small subunit ribosomal RNA", at positions 587 to 975 of the family's 1831-position model. The record is from RNAcentral. Lineage: Eukaryota; Ciliophora; Litostomatea; Cyclotrichida; Mesodiniidae.
AGCUCCAAUAGCGUAUAUUAAAGUUGUUGCAGUUAAAAAGCUCGUAGUUGAAUUUAUGGCGAUUGCAUGGACAGGCUUUGGUCGUUCAUGUGGUCGUCAUCCGCUUGGGAACCCCGUUCGGUCUUCAUUGGUCGGCGGGAGGAUCAGGCAUUUUACUUUGAAAAAAUAAGAGUGUUCAAGGCAGGCAAACCGUCAUGAAUACACAAGCAUGGAAUAAUGGAAUAGGACUGUGAUCCAUUUUAUUGGUUAUUGGAUUACAGUAAUGAUUAAUAGGGACAGUUGGGGGCAUUAGUAUUUAAUUGUCAGAGGUGAAAUUCUUGGAUUACUUAAAGACUAACUUAUGCGAAAGCAUUUGCCAAGGAUGUUUUCAUUA